RNAcentral lists this ribosomal RNA (254 nucleotides) under uncultured bacterium. RNAcentral describes it as "partial 16S ribosomal RNA". It matches the Rfam family "Bacterial small subunit ribosomal RNA", at positions 524 to 776 of the family's 1533-position model. The record is from RNAcentral.
UACGGGGGGGGGCAAGCGUUGUUCGGAAUUACUGGGCGUAAAGGGCGCGUAGGCGGCCUUCUAAGUCAGACGUGAAAUCCCUCGGCUCAACCGAGGAACUGCGUCUGAUACUGGAAGGCUUGAAUCCGGGAGAGGGAUGUGGAAUUCCAGGUGUAGCGGUGAAAUGCGUAGAUAUCUGGAGGAACACCGGUGGCGAAGGCGGCAUCCUGGACCGGUAUUGACGCUGAGGCGCGAAAGCUAGGGGAGCAAACGGG